This 350-nucleotide ribosomal RNA is filed under the name uncultured bacterium. Its description in RNAcentral is "partial 16S ribosomal RNA". It matches the Rfam family "Bacterial small subunit ribosomal RNA", at positions 338 to 685 of the family's 1533-position model. The record is from RNAcentral.
CCUACGGGAGGCAGCAGUGAGGAAUAUUGGUCAAUGGACGAGAGUCUGAACCAGCCAAGUAGCGUGAAGGAUGACUGCGCUAUGGGUUGUAAACUUCUUUUAUAUGGGAAUAAAAUGUUCCACGCGUCGGAUCUUGUAUGUACCAUAUGAAUAAGGAUCGGCUAACUCCGUGCCAGCAGCCGCGGUAAUACGGAGGCUCCGAGCGUUAUCCGGAUUUAUUGGGUUUAAAGGGAGCGUAGGUGGAGUGUUAAGUCAGGUGUGAAAGUUUGCGGCUCAACCGUAAAAUUGCAGUUGAAACUGGCAGUCUUGGGGACAGUAGAGGUGGGCGGAAGUCGGGGUGUAGCGGUGAA